AGUCAGAGAAGCUGCACCGCCGCCAGCGGCGACGAACUGAAACAAACACCGGGAAAAGCUCUUUCGUCCGCUCGAUUUUAGCACCCCAUUGACCUCCCUGCGUCCAGAUGCGCCCCCUCGAGGUGGAUAAACAUCUCCGCUUCCUAUCCCCUGUUUCUCGCGCCUUACCUCGCCCGCAGGCCCGCGAAUUUGCUGUGUCGAUCCGUCGGCCGCCGCCACCAAAUUCGCAGUGGCCGCUCGCCCUCUGGCCUAUAAAAGACCCUCGUGGCUUCCCCUUGACCUCCACCACAUUUCUCCUCACAGUGCCACCUCCGUUCGGGCUCCAGAAAGUCCGAAUUUCGUGACCGAAGUCCGCCGCCGUCCGCAACUCCGGCGACGAUUCCGACGCCGGUGAAGCUCGGAGCAUCCAGGACAACAGGAGCACGCCGGCGCUGCGGACGUCGCUCUCGUCGCUGUCCAACCUCGCCGGGACCAGCUGACCGCCGGUGGAAUUCCAUCACGUCUACCAGCAUCGCCUCCAAGCCUCGCCCAAACCAUCCGACGUUUGUAGCUCCGUCUUGGUCCACGACCGGAGUUGCAAAAUCCAUCGUCGGCCACACAUCAUUACGAAGAUUUAUCGUGAGAGUGUCUCGGCGACAAUAGAGAAGUAAUACUUCACAAAUCAAAAGACAAGUUACAUCUACAUGUCUGUCCCAUUUAUUUUUCUAUGCUAUUUUGGUUAUGAAAGUAGGAAUGCAUGUGAUAAUUUUAUUUUGUGAGCCAAGUAUUUUUAGAAAUGGCGAUGUUUUACAUAGUUAUGUCCUAUGGUAGAAAUAAGCCGUAGGAAUUAUCACCCACUUUGUAACCUUAGGUAAAUAUAUGCUAGAUUAAGUUUUAGUAAAGUUUUGAACUAUAUAGUUAUGCUUAGUCAUGCUAGAAUAAAAUCCGUUGGGGGGUUCAAAUGAAAUAAUGUUUACGAAAUAGAAAUGGUUUGUGAAAUGUGUUUACCAAAUUAAAAUGUAAAAUUAUUUCAUCCUGGGAAUUAUCCCAGGGACCCCUAAAAGAACAAAUUCAUGUUUAGAAUUGCCCAGAAUCACAUGUCAUAUGGGCUCUGGCUUGGUUGAUUAUCUUGUGGAAACCUACUUAAGGACCGUCGUCGGUAUGAGACUUUGUGUCUAUUUUGGAACGGACGUGCCUGGAAAUAAGUAGUUAGCCAUUUAGGAAAGACCUCGGCAUAGCCUUCGGGUUGUGCCAUGUGGUGAAAGUGUGCAACCCCUCCAGUGUGUAGAACUAAUCGAUUAGCCAUGCCCACGGUUAAUGGCGAAGCUGAGUGAACUUUACUUGAAAACGUCUCUUCUCAAGUUUGUCUUUCUAAACAUAAAUUGAAUUUCAAACCCUAUGUCCGUGUGUCGUUCAUAGGUGGGAUUUUGGGGAAAGCCCUGUGUUCGUGUGUCGCUCACGGGUACUUUCAUCUAGGCUAGUUGGACCGUGUGACCUCUACUCAUAUAUUACUUGAUAAAAUUGUUUAUUAAAGAUAUGACGAGUUAGAACUUUGGAAAUGUUAAAAUGUGGUUUAUUAAUGCAAAAUAUUGUUUUGCGCAAAUGUUAAACCCUAUAGCCAUUUCCUUUGAUAUCCCUAAGCAUGUAUAAAUAGGUAUAUUAUUGCAUUGGUGUAACUUGCCACACAUUCAAAGUGUUGACCACUCUCGUGGCUGCAAUGUUUUAUGUUGCAAGUUGUUCCGAUGACGAGUGAGAUACAAUGUUAGGGUCACGAUGCUCCAGUCGAUUGCCUGUGGCACAUUUGCUGGAUUCGCCACUUUAUUUGUCUUCCACUGUUCAUUUUGGCCUACAUGCAUUUAUGUAAUAAAUGACUAUAUAUUCGGAUUUGUUGCGCUGUAAUAA
Molecule: long non-coding RNA, 1881 nt
Organism: Lolium perenne
Lineage: Eukaryota; Viridiplantae; Streptophyta; Magnoliopsida; Poales; Poaceae
Source: RefSeq, a predicted model, not a curated record